CCUCUACCUGUAUCAUACUCUGUUAAUCCCAAUGGACAGACAAUGACUGAAGCCCAGUGUGGCAUGGAGCAGGCCCACCAGCUCCAUUAUUAACCAUUUUCUUUUCAAAUCACCAGAAGUUUCUUUUCCUUUCCUUCACACUUCCUCUCUAGUGAGUGGCUCCUCUCAGUGAUUUUCACUAUGGUUCUUCCUACAUUUCCAGGCUGCCUAGAGCAUUGCAACAGCUCCUCUGAUGUAGCAUGAGGCCCCUGGCUGCUCAUUGUCAUGACAACUGGAAAAACAAGAGGCCUAGGCCACCACCUCAGGAGUUGUAAUGGAAGGAUGAUGCCACCAGUAAGGACAGCCUCAUGUGAAGCCAGGAAAGUGGCUAAAAUUGAAAUAACCACUGUGUGAAAUGAAGUAUCUACAAACCCUCCCCUGGGCAAGCUCCCAACCUGAGGAACUGGCACCAGGAGGUUUGUCCCAAUGUGAUGCAUGAAAUGAAGAUUGUGUAGCUCUCUAAAUCCAGAUUACCAGCUGAUUUCCUCCCCUAAAUUCCAAGGCACCAUCUGUCAAAAUCACGAAGACCUCCACUACCAGGCUCUUUGAGAUGGGAAAGUGUCAUCUCCACUUCUGCAUACAGGAUGCUGAGGAGCAGAACAGCUGAGGCUGUGCUUGCACAAAAAAAAUGAAGGUAUAUUCAAAGUAUAAGGAAAGGCACACACUUGCUGGCCAUAUUUCCUUACCACAGGUAAGGAAACAAGGAGCAUAUGAAAACAGUUUUUUUUGCAAGGACAACAAAUAUUUAUGCCCCC
This 794-nucleotide long non-coding RNA is filed under the name Anas platyrhynchos platyrhynchos (common mallard). Its description in RNAcentral is "lncRNA (ENSAPLG00000027498.1)". The record is from RNAcentral. Lineage: Eukaryota; Metazoa; Chordata; Aves; Anseriformes; Anatidae.